GCUCAGAACGAACGCUGGCGGCAUGCCUAACACAUGCAAGUCGAACGAUGCUUUCGGGCAUAGUGGCGCACGGGUGCGUAACGCGUGGGAAUCUGCCCCUUGGUUCGGAAUAACAGUUAGAAAUGACUGCUAAUACCGGAUGACGACGUAAGUCCAAAGAUUUAUCGCCGAGGGAUGAGCCCGCGUAGGAUUAGCUAGUUGGUGUGGUAAAGGCGCACCAAGGCGACGAUCCUUAGCUGGUCUGAGAGGAUGAUCAGCCACACUGGGACUGAGACACGGCCCAGACUCCUACGGGAGGCAGCAGUGGGGAAUAUUGGACAAUGGGCGCAAGCCUGAUCCAGCAAUGCCGCGUGAGUGAUGAAGGCCUUAGGGUUGUAAAGCUCUUUUACCCG
RNAcentral lists this ribosomal RNA (392 nucleotides) under Sphingomonas sp. IGS83. RNAcentral describes it as "bacterial SSU rRNA". It matches the Rfam family "Bacterial small subunit ribosomal RNA", at positions 22 to 442 of the family's 1533-position model. The record is from RNAcentral. Lineage: Bacteria; Pseudomonadati; Pseudomonadota; Alphaproteobacteria; Sphingomonadales; Sphingomonadaceae.